UGACCUGCCUGGUAGCGGGGGAUAACUAUUGGAAACGAUAGCUAAUACCGCAUAACAGUCGACAUUGCAUGAUGUUGAUUUGAAAGGGGCAAUUGCUCCACUACCAGAUGGACCUGCGUUGUAUUAGCUAGUUGGUGAGGUAACGGCUCACCAAGGCGACGAUACAUAGCCGACCUGAGAGGGUGAUCGGCCACACUGGGACUGAGACACGGCCCAG
Molecule: ribosomal RNA, 217 nt
Filed under: uncultured bacterium
Lineage: Bacteria
Description: partial 16S ribosomal RNA
Rfam family: Bacterial small subunit ribosomal RNA
Source: RNAcentral